CACUGGAGGCCUCGGCUGGACUAUCUCAGGUACAGGUCAGUGUGGCCACUCACCCUGCUGGCCCUGAAGUCCACGGCCUGUGCCCUGGCCUUUACCCGGACGCCUGGCUUUCAGACCCCCUCAGAAUUCCUGGAGAACCCCAGCCAGAGCUCCCGACUAACAGCUCCAUUCCGGAAACAUGUCAGGCCCAAGAAGCAGCAUGAGAUCCGGAGGCUGGGAGAGUUGGUGAAGAAGCUGAGUGAUUUCACAGGCUGCACCCAGGUUGUAGACGUGGGCUCAGGCCAGGGCCAUCUCUCCCGCUUCAUGGCUCUUGGCCUGGGGUUGAUGGUGAAGAGCAUCGAAGGGGAUCAGAGACUGGUAGAGAGAGCCCAGCGCCUGGACCAGGAGCUUCUGCAGGCUCUGGAGAAAGAGGAGAAGAGGAACCCGCAGGUAGGCCAACCCUUCCUGCUAUCUGGACUGCGGGAGCAGGGGCCGCUUGGCUGGAAUUGAGCACAGAGGCUGGAUUACAUCUUUCAAGUUUCUCAGCUUGAAGUGGUGUGGUCCCCAAUUUCUAUUACC
This 558-nucleotide small RNA is filed under the name Pongo abelii (Sumatran orangutan). RNAcentral's name for it is "retained intron". The record is from RNAcentral. Lineage: Eukaryota; Metazoa; Chordata; Mammalia; Primates; Hominidae.